GUCGCAACAGACGGGAAGCCAGCCUUUCCUUCCAUCUUCGGUGCAGUGUUUCCUGUACAAGUACCCGUUCCUUCCUCAUUACAUCUGAGGCUUCUCCUCUCUGGGUAUCCCUCUUUGGCUGGAGCUCUGGCUACUGAAGUUGGAGAUUUGAACCCUUGAUUUGACGCCUGAUAAUGGCCUCGUUCCCUAUUUUGACUGUGAUCUGACAGAGUGGCAGAGCAUCCCCAUCCACAGAUGGACCUGGACAAACAGGCUUAGCGAGGUUGCUUCAUGAUUUCCAAUUGAAUACAUCACAGAAAACAACAGGCAGCCAACUGCAUGCAGCCAAUUUUAUAGAGACAGCAGUUGUUUGUGCAGGUACCACGAGAACAACAUGGCGUCACUAUUUACAGCCUCCAAUGACUAAAACCACGACCAGCCUCCUACCUCCCCCUCACACAGGCCUCCGUUGUCAUAGCAACAUGCUAUGGCGCAGCACUUAUUCGGAUUUAACCCAGACGGAAAGUGAAUGCAUUAGCUAUCCUCCUGUUUCAUCCCCUCUCUCUCUCUCCCUCCCUCUCCCGUUCUGCCUCCGUCUCUCUCUCACGUUUUGCUUUUUUAUUUUUUUGACCAUAGUCAACCUGACCUGCAUCAUAACAGUAGUUUGUUUCUGGUUCCUGUUUAGAUGGUUAUUGAAAAUAUUUAUAUCUGUUCCUUUGUUUGCAUGCUGUCCGACUGCAACCCUGUGGACUUAGUAUUUCCGUUAUCAACUCGCAUUAUGCUUUAGUCCUUUCUGCUGAAUUCCCUGGUUUAAUUUUAGCAUUUUCACCUUGAUGUGUCCUUUGCGUAGCUCUUUUUAUGAGACACAUUUCCGGAAAUAAAAUUUGUCCCCAAUCAUCUGGUUACUUGCUACCAACCACUAAGCGGAAAAUUUGAAAUUUGUCAUGAGCGGACAUGUUUUGCCACACCCAAGCAUAUACUUUUUCUUAAAGAUAUAUUUGGGUAUAAUAUAUUUAAAAAUAUUUGGUCAGAAUAAGAGAAAGAUAUGACGCAGAAGAGCUUUAAAUAAAACGACAACGCUUAUUGCCACACAAAACAGUAUAUACAUAAAGGGAAAACAUGCAAAACAUACCUUUUUAAAUCUGAGAAUACGAUGCAGGAAACACAGGAGAAAGAAAACAUCAAACAAUAUCCCUUUUUCACAGCUUUACAUGCACUCUACGCUACAUUGCAACCCGUUUCCCGUAUCAAGGCAUAAUAAGUUAUUUCUUUCUAUGAUGGUCGCUGAAAAGUGGUGCUGUCAAAGAUGAGCUAUUUGACGUCCUUCUUCCUCACCCUCCCUCUCUCUGUGCAGAUGACUCCGGCACGAAUGAGUCCUUCGCCUCAAACCCUAUGCACCCUGGGUCCUGGGCUAGUUCUGCAACUGUCCACUUCCGAGCACCCGCUGCCUACUUCUCAGUCAAGUUUGCUGUCAUGGAGAAAAUCGUCCUGAGGUUCCUUCAACUCAGUGGGUGCUGCCCCUCUUAGUUCAAUUCAUCUGGAAAUCGUCAAUGUUCUCCAAAUCACAUACAGUAUUGAAGAUCAUAUCUCAUUGCAUCUUUGCUGGUGGAUCGCUUCUAAAAUAUAGCCUGACCCUAAACCAUAUUUGGACAAUACAGAUAUAUUUUCAGAAAUUUCACAUAUCAUUAAUGCAUAAAACAUGCACUGAUUUAAAUAAAUGCAUAAUGACAUUAAUCAAUUUAA
Long non-coding RNA from Gadus morhua (Atlantic cod), 1722 nucleotides. RefSeq lists it as uncharacterized. The record is from RefSeq and is a predicted model, not a curated record. The transcript has 6 exons. NCBI's taxonomy places the organism in Eukaryota, Metazoa, Chordata, Actinopteri, Gadiformes, Gadidae.